GCCAAAAGUCCAAUCCCUCUUUAUCUCACCCAAUAAUAAUUAAUUAAUUUUCCAACCAAAAAAAAUAAUUAAAAAUAAAAAUAAAAAUAAAAAGUUGAAGAAAAAACAUGGAGGAAAGAAGAAAGAAAAUGGGAUCAAAAACUGAUAAUUUAGAAGUUUAACACACUGCUGAUCACUGAACCCUAAACUUUCACAUCGAUCUACACAAAAUUAAAUAAAGUACCAAACACCCAAAAUUUAAAAUAAAAAUACCCAAAAAAAAGCAAGAAAAACAGAAAACAGAAAAAAAAAAAAAAUUAUCACUCAGUCAAUCUUCUUCUCCAACCUAAUUAGUAAUUACCCACUUUCUCUCUCCACCAAAAUUCUGCUUCUUUUUGAUGAUUUGAUAAAAAUUCAUCCUUUUUAUUUAGUUUCAGCUGCGAAAAUUAAAACUUUUAGCUGGGUUUUUGUUUGAUGCUAUUUUUGAUGGGAAAGAGAUAGUACUGUGAACCCAUUUCAGUUUGAAGCUUAUUUUCUCUCUCCUAAAUCAUAAACAUGAGGUCUAAUGUGACAGGAGUAGGCUUCUACACCUCUGAACCACGCAACUUUAACCGCGGUUUUGGGCGUGGAACUCCUAAACAGUUUCAACCAUCUCAGACUCCAAGUCAUCCAUCUCCGCCACCACCUCGUAAAGGUGAUCUUUUUGUAGAGGCUGGUCGACUAGCAGUCGAGUAUCUGGUUUCGCGUGGAUUAUUGUCCUCUAAUGUGCUGUCUGGCAAAUAUCAGAAUGGUAUCCUAAGAAAUAAUGCUGGGGAACCACAGGAUCUUCGUAGUUUGCAAGAUAGGGACAGUAGUAGAAGGUCCUCAAUUGAUCAGGAUGUAACCCUAUCAAGGAGUUAUUUGAGGGAGAGGAGAAGACUUGGACCCUCUAGAAGUAUCGGCUCUGACUGGAGCCGCGAGAAUGAGAAGGAAGGAUCAUUGACUGAAGAAGCAAUUCCUUCGAGGGCCAUGGAAAUUGAUAAUGAUACUUUAAACAAGGAUACAUCUAAAGAUACUGAUACUAGUUUUCAGAAUUCUCAUCCAGCUGAGCCAGCUAAUGAGGUGAUGAAACCUUCUGAUGAUUUAGACUUAAAGAUGACUUCUUUGGUGCAAAACAAGGAUGAUAAUGAGAUAGUGGAACCUUCAGAUGUGGUGAAUGCCGUGCGUGAGGAGACCAAAAAUGGCUCUGAUAAUUAUGACAAGGACAAAGAUACUGCUAUGAACAAUCUGGCUAUUCAGCAAGAUGAAGAAAAGAGCAGUUCUUCUACUCUUAUUAACAGCAACAACCUGACGACUGAUUCACUUUUGAUCAGCAAGGAGAACAAUUCCAGUGUGACAGAACAUGAUUCUCUUGACUCCAAAAAAUAUGAUACCAUGAAUGAUUCAGAAGAGACCCCGAGUUCCAAAUGUGUUGUUACUGAUAUAUCUGAUCACUCUUUCAGGGAGGCAGGAGUACUGAACCCUGCAUACACUGUUGAUCUGCAAAAAUCUAUGGAAUCUCUGCCAUUUACCGAUAAAACGUUUUCUUAUGAGCAAGAAUCUGGUGGAUUGCCUGAACUGGGGAUGUGCAGUUCUAUUGUUAAAGAUAGAGGUCAAAAGCGGCCUGUUGAGGAGGAUAGUAUGAUGGAGGGAGCCAAGAAAGCUAAGCAACAAUGGCUUUCUGUUGCUCCAAGUGAUGAGUUUUCACAGCUUCCGGAUCUGAGCGACAAGCAUUCGAUUUUACCAACGAAAGGGUCUCUUAGCAUAUUUAAUGUGUCUGCCAGUCAGGAGAGCUUUACCAAUAUCUCUUUGCCUUUGAAAGCCAAUGUGGAAUCUGAUAUGAAUCAAGGAGAGAAGCAGCUUCUCUCAAGCUCAUUUAAAAUUUGCGACCUCAACCUGAUGGAAGCUUCUGAUAUGCAUGAGCAUCAUGAAGUUCCUGCUAUGUUGUAUCCCACAAUUUCAGGUCCCAGUCGAAAUUUACCAGUCGAUAUUGAUCUGUCCAUGAGUAACAGUUGCAAUUUAACUAAUGAUUACAACGACACUGGAUCAGUGAGAAAAGAUAUUGAAAUAAUUGAUCUGGAAAGUGCUUCUUUGGAGGGAUGCAAAAGCCCUAAUACUUCAAUGAAAAAUACGGAAGCUGGCAUUACAAGCCUGGAGAGCUUUCCAAAUCCACAAAAUACCACCGAUAAUCCAGAUGGUCAGGAUGGGUAUGGGUUCAUGAUCUCAGAGUUGCUUGGUAAUGAUGUCCCAAAUUGUUCUUCAGUUCAGCCUGAUAUGAAUUCUUUGCACAAUGACAUGGGAAUAAAUCAUAGCGAGGGCAUGUUCAGUGAAGACGAUCCAAUCUACAUGUCCUUGGGAGAAAUUCCUCUAAGUAUGCCAGAUAUUUAACUUGCUGCAGGUCUUUUACGUGCUUGGGAGCAGCCUACACAGGAGAGAAAUCCUUUUGAACUGUAGCUCAGUAAUCAUGGGUUGCAGAUAUCACUGUAAUCAGAACUUGCUUGUUUGGAGUGCCUGUGAAUGUGAUUGAACUUCAUGAGGAGCUUUGAUUUGCUGACAAAUGAUGGGGAUAACUGGAGUAGCUUAGAAACAUCAUAAUGUUCCAGCAGGACACCGUUGCUUCGAUGAAACUUCUGAUUGAGGUCUCAACUCCGAUCUACCAAGUUCUGAGAUCAAGUACUCAUAUCGCCUCUCUCUUUCUCCUGCCUCAUUAGUACCUAGUGUGAACUUGUUGAAUAUAUACAAACUAUAUGACCUACUGCGACCACUUAUUAUUACUGUUGUGGUUUACAUCGUCUAGUUAUUUCCUAGUUGCCAAAGUAUACUGGCUAGUGGCUACAUCACUCUAUUUCGAGAUUGGUUUUGGGGGGAAAGAUGUCUUUGUAACAUUGAUCUGUAAGGAAGAUUUGAUGACGAUUAUUCGUCAAAUGAAAGCUGAUAAUCUUCAUGGAAGAAAGUUUGGAUUAGGAGCACUAGCAAGAACAAGCUUGGAAGGAUGUUCUCUAUCCUACUCUGUAGAAUCAAUGUAUAAAAGCUGAUAGUCUCUUGUGUUGUAAACGGGUGGAUAAUCUCCUUUGAAAUCUAAAGGUGAUUUCGUUUAUAGUAAGGCCUUGUUCUUUUGGACUUA
Molecule: RNA transcript, 3121 nt
Organism: Beta vulgaris subsp. vulgaris (sugar beet)
Lineage: Eukaryota; Viridiplantae; Streptophyta; Magnoliopsida; Caryophyllales; Amaranthaceae
Exons: 6
Source: RefSeq, a predicted model, not a curated record